RNAcentral lists this ribosomal RNA (442 nucleotides) under uncultured bacterium. RNAcentral's name for it is "bacterial SSU rRNA". It matches the Rfam family "Bacterial small subunit ribosomal RNA", at positions 477 to 917 of the family's 1533-position model. The record is from RNAcentral.
ACCUUCCAAGAAAGCACCGGCUAACUCCGUGCCAGCAGCCGCGGUAAUACGGAGGGUGCAAGCGUUGCUCGGAAUUACUGGGCGUAAAGCGUACGCAGGCGGUCUGAUAAGUCGGGUGUGAAAGCCCCGGGCUCAACCCGGGAACUGCAUUCGAAACUGCCAGACUUGAGUUUGGGAGAGGGAAGUGGAAUUCCUGGUGUAGAGGUGAAAUUCGUUGAUAUCAGGAGGAACACCGGCGGCGAAAGCGGCUUCCUGGCCCGAUACUGACGCUCAUGUACGAAAGCGUGGGGAGCAAACAGGAUUAGAUACCCUGGUAGUCCACGCCGUAAACGAUGAGUGCUAGAUGUUGGAGGUAUUCACCCCUUCAGUGUCGAAGCUAACGCAUUAAGCACUCCGCCUGGGGAGUACGGCCGCAAGGUUAAAACUCAAAGGAAUUGACGGG